CAGCUUACCGUUCACUAUUACACACCUCCUUCAUCCAGCGCUGAUUAACAUGCCGAUUGCCAACAUGUGGAAAGCCAGACUCCCAAGCAAAUUUGACACCACCCAUCUCGUAGCCAAUCAAUGUUGUCGUAAAGAAAGAGAUCUAUACACUAUCAUCAGGACACCCUGUGCCCAGUUUAUACUUUUUCAAAACUUGAACCCAAAAAGCAUUCCUAUUAAAGCCUAAUUUUAGCUACAUUUUGUUCCCUAAGUUUGCGAGCUGUCAACAAGUUUCCCAACCAACUAGCUGAAUCUUUCGAUGCUCAUUUGUACAACCUUUUAACAAAAUUCCUUAUUAUCUUUGCAAUUUCUCAACAGAUGUCCACCGGAAUUCAAGGCAACUACAUGAAAUAAUUGGGAAUAACUAAGAGGAUCGACCUCGCCAAGGUAACUCCACCAUCCUACCCAUUAAACCAUUUAUCAACUUCAUCCAUCAUUAACCGAUAUGUCUGCUUGGUUACCCUUUAGUGAAAUAAGGGUAUCCCAAGAUAUUUCUCUACAUCCUCCACUACUUUGAACCCCAACUUGGACCUAAUUUGCAUUUCCCUACACUCGGUCAUGUUUGGGGAACAAUAAAUUUGGUACUUUCUAGC
RNAcentral lists this long non-coding RNA (632 nucleotides) under Gossypium barbadense (sea-island cotton). Its description in RNAcentral is "long non-coding RNA (GBAR_LNC012445)". The record is from RNAcentral. Lineage: Eukaryota; Viridiplantae; Streptophyta; Magnoliopsida; Malvales; Malvaceae.